Molecule: non-coding RNA, 2857 nt
Organism: Equus caballus (horse)
Lineage: Eukaryota; Metazoa; Chordata; Mammalia; Perissodactyla; Equidae
Source: RefSeq, a predicted model, not a curated record
CUUUAGAAUAAAAUCUAAAAUCCAAAUGGCACUCAAGACUUGUUUUAAAAAUCUCUCUAUAUUUUCAUCAAUAUUUCCUGCCAUUCCCCCAGUACUGUCUACACUCCACAGUCCAGCCAUUCUGGAGCAAUUUCAGUUCCCUGAAUGUGCUGCGCUUUCUGACCACCUCCACAACUACUGCAUGCCAUUCCUCAUCAUUAGCCCCUGGCUGACUUGUCUACCAUGACAACUCGGUCACUGCCGACGUCGCAAAGGCUCUGUGACUCUGGUUGGCCGUGUUCCAUGAUCCUUCCUCUGGGCUCCCAUGGCACACAGUGCCCCUUUGUUACUUAUCUUAGCGAACUGUCCCUUAUCUAUAAACUCCCCGAAGACAGGUGUGUUUCCUCUCACUACCUCUGCACCAGGCACAGUGGGUGGCACAGAGCUGGUCCUCAGCAAACACCUGUUAAACAAGUCAAUGAAUGAAUGGUGCAGAAUCACUUGGUGGUUCAGGUCUCAUCAACAGAUAAGUAUCUAUAACAGUCAAGCUGUUCAUUGAUCUUCAACUUUUGAAAAUGAAUCUAAAUAAAAGAAAUGUGAGAGGGAUCUUAAAACCCACUUCAAGCUCGAGACCACUGUUGAUCGCUAGGCAAUGGGAGUCAUAAAUCAGUCAGGCAGGGGCUGGAGACACGGAGAUGAAACUCGGAUUGUGUUUAGAUGAGUCGUGAAGACAGACCCACACCUCGGCCAUUAAAAUACAAUGGAAUCGGUGCCAUGAUAAUUCUGUGCUAUGCAGGUAGCACAGAGACCAGUGUCUGGAACCAGCAUGCAUAAAAGAGGACUUCUUGAAUGAGAAAGAAUACUGUGAGAAAGAUAUUAUAGUCUACUCUCUGUAACCACGGUUCUGCACCCAUGGAUUCAACAAGCUAGAAUCAAAAGGCCUACGACGGUUGCAUGUGUACUGAAUACCUACAGACUUUUCCUCUUGCCAUUAUUUCCUAAAUAAUACAGUAUAACAACUAUUUAGAUCGUAUUACAAGCGAUCUAGAGAUGAUUUGAAGCAUACAGGAGGAUAUGCAGUUUAGAUGCAAAUAGAUGCCUUUUUAUGUAAGGGCCUUGAGCAUCUGUGGAUUUUGGUACCCACGGGGUCCUGGAACCAGUCCCCCAGGGAUACCAGUGACGACUCUAUUUCCACUUAACAGGAGAGGAAAGUGAAGAUAAAGAGGUUAAGGGUCUUGCCAAAUUCCCAGUGCUAGGAAUCAGAAAGGCUGAGAUUCCAAACCAGCUCUUCCUAUCCCCACACCCAUUGCUUUCUUUUGUUCCCCAUGGCCACUCCUCACUCAUUUCUAUACCGCCCUCCCUUACUGUUUGUCCAUUCGUGAAAAGGGCUAGUGAAACAGUCCUUCCCUUCCCUUCAGGAAAACUCAGUGAAAUAACGUGAAAGUAUUUUGAAAGAAAAAGAUGUAUAUGUCAGGAUUCUUGUAGCCAAAAGAAAGGUGGAAUCAGACUUUGCAGAACCAAAUAGCAACAGCUUAAGUCCCCAGACUUCGUGCAAACACACAAAACCAUGUUGAUUCCAUUACUAAGACAGGAGAGGCAGGGAGGAGGGAAAACACGCUGGACUUCCCAGUGACUGUUUUUGGAAAAAAACAAAACAAAACAAAAAACCUCGGUGAGCUAAUCUCGAACGCGAGGAACUGCUCCUUUGUUGUCCAGCUGCUGCCUUCGAAUCCUGUGUUUGUGUUACCCACAAUUGCCACGGAAGUGUUUCAUUUCGUUUAUUUAUUAUUUAUAUCCCAAGAGAAACGCAAGGCCUGGAAGUGAAGCUUUUUUCAUUUUCAUACACUAGAUUCAUAUCUCGACCACUUUGUUUUGCCGAUAUGUCAGCUUAAAAAUUACAGAGCUAAUACAACCACCAGCCGAGAGGGUGAGGUACUCUCAAAUUCAAAUAUUUGGAUUUGACGCCGAAGUCUGAUGCCAAGGACAUGCUGAUCUGCGACUGAAGAGCCGAAACACAAAAGUCCCAAUCUUAUUUUCUCCUGACUAUGUCACAGGGAUGCACUGCCGACUUAAUGUCUUUAAUCUGCCUUGCUGCUUCCAAAGCCACAAUUAAUCAGAAUCCAUGCAAGGGCCAGCCCUGUGACAAGCUGCCCCUGAACACAGCGCGGCUGGGACCGCAGAUCCCCGCCGACCCUUUGUUCCAUCGGCAGAAGAUUCUCUCGGUGGCCAGCUGAAGGCCUUUUCUUUGUGUCGUGAUUGACAGACAUGAAUUAAAUAUCACCCCACUGGGCUCUCUGAUUGGUGAAUAACGAUGGAUUACAAGAAUGUCUUGGGAAAAUGGCGUUUUAUGAUAGGGGGACAGUACCAGAAAGGCAGAGCUUUUCCAGCUAAUCCUGAACUUGACAACAGCAGAGACCUUCAUUUUAGGCUCUGAUUUUUUUUUAGUUCAAUAUGCCUUGUUCAGGUCCCGAAAGGAAUGAUCCUGGAAUGGCCUAAGAGAAGAGGAUGAAGCCAAAGAAAGUAAAAAUUGGGGGGAAAGAAAACGAUCGUUUUCUUUAAAAGACUCAUGUUUCUGGAGAUGUGCUUGAAGGAGUCUCUUCUAAAAUGGGUCUGGCAUUGUCCCUGAGGCAUGUUGUUCUUUCUCAGUUUAUCAGCGCGGCAACUAAUGUUCCUUAGGGCAAUGAUGUGUGCUGCAGAAUCCACCCUAUUCCCAGCAUCCUGCACGCAGUCGUGGGCAUAAACAGCUCUGCACACACAGCCCUCUGGUUUUGAAUAAGCAGAAACGGUGCAUUAAGAAAGUACAGAGAAAUGGGGGAGCAAAGAAAGGCAUCCCAGAAUUCUAGGUGACACAGCACAUAUGCAGCUAACUAGAUGAAGA